This 422-nucleotide ribosomal RNA is filed under the name uncultured prokaryote. Its description in RNAcentral is "bacterial SSU rRNA". It matches the Rfam family "Bacterial small subunit ribosomal RNA", at positions 355 to 774 of the family's 1533-position model. The record is from RNAcentral.
UGAGGAAUAUUGGUCAAUGGGCGGAGGCCUGAACCAGCCAAGUAGCGUGCAGGAUGACGGCCCUAUGGGUUGUAAACUGCUUUUAUACAGGAAUAAAGUUAGCCACGUGUGGUUUAUUGCAGGUACCGUUUGAAUAAGGACCGGCUAAUUCCGUGCCAGCAGCCGCGGUAAUACGGAAGGUCCGGGCGUUAUCCGGAUUUAUUGGGUUUAAAGGGAGCGUAGGCGGAGCGUCAAGCCAGCAGUGAAAUGUAGCGGCCCAACCGCUGCACUGCUGUUGGAACUGGCGCCCUUGAGUGCACACGAGGCAUGCGGAAUUUGUGGUGUAGCGGUGAAAUGCUUAGAUAUCACGAAGAACUCCGAUUGCGAAGGCAGCGUGCCGGAGUGCAACUGACGCUGAAGCUCGAAAGUGCGGGUAUCGAACA